UUGCCACUAAUACCACUUUCAUGAUACCACUUUUCAAAACUACACUAACCAACUUUACCAUUAAAAUUUUAUAAGAUAAAGUACUAUCCUACCCCUGAUUUAUUAAAUCAAACAUAUCCUCAUCAUCGAUCUCUAUUCUUCUUUGUCGGACAAGUUAUUGAAGUUUAUGGCGACUCCGACGACGAGAAUUGACGACUCCAACGACGAGAAUCGGCGACACUAACGUCCGACGAGAUCUGGUGCUCAUCGCCACUCUGAGAUCGUCUCGUUUAAUCUUCACUACACCUGAAAAGAGAAGCCUCAUCGUGAAAUCAACCGUCGGGGAGGUCUCCUUUCGCGAACCGGAGACAUCGGGAGAUAGCAAAGGAAUCAAAUCGCUGAAACUCAAGUUGCUGAGUGUGGUUUCGGGGUUAAACAGAGGACUCGUGGUCGAUUCAUAUGAUUCUGCGAAGAAGAAACAUCUGGUUAUCUACGAUGAUGGAGAUCAAGAAAUCUUGAAUCUUAAGACACAGAAGUGGCAUUUUCUGGAUGAAUCAGAAACAGAG
Molecule: long non-coding RNA, 545 nt
Organism: Raphanus sativus (radish)
Lineage: Eukaryota; Viridiplantae; Streptophyta; Magnoliopsida; Brassicales; Brassicaceae
Exons: 3
Source: RefSeq, a predicted model, not a curated record